Molecule: small nuclear RNA, 107 nt
Organism: Cavia porcellus (domestic guinea pig)
Lineage: Eukaryota; Metazoa; Chordata; Mammalia; Rodentia; Caviidae
Source: Ensembl
GUGCUCGCUUCGGCAGCACGUACACUAAAAUUGGAACAAUAUAGAGAAGAUUAGCAUGGCCCCCGCGCAAGGAAGACGCACAAAUUCGUGAAGCAUUCCAUAUUUUU